GGUGAACGCUGGCGGCGUGCCUAAGACAUGCAAGUCGUGCGGGCCGCGGGGUUUUUGCUUCGCGGUCAGCGGCGGACGGGUGAGUAACGCGUGGGUGACCUACCCGGAAGAGGGGGACAACCCGGGGAAACUCGGGCUAAUCCCCCAUGUGGGCGUGUCCUGUGGGGCACGUUUAAAGGGUUUUAAGCCCGCUUCCGGAUGGGCCCGCGUCCCAUCAGCUAGUUGGUGGGGUAAAGGCCCACCAAGGCGACGACGGGUAGCCGGCCUGAGAGGGCGACCGGCCACACUGGGACUGAGACACGGCCCAGACUCCUGCGGGAGGCAGCAGUGGGGAAUAUUGCGCAAUGGGCGGAAGCCUGACGCAGCGACGCCGCGUGGGGGAUGAAGGCCUUCGGGUUGUAAACCUCUUUUACCACUCACGAAGGCCCCUGGUUUUCUGGGGGUUGACGGUAGGUGGUGAAUAAGGACCGGCUAACUACGUG
Molecule: ribosomal RNA, 482 nt
Filed under: uncultured bacterium
Lineage: Bacteria
Description: bacterial SSU rRNA
Rfam family: Bacterial small subunit ribosomal RNA
Source: RNAcentral